Molecule: transfer RNA, 65 nt
Filed under: Dipodomys ordii (Ord's kangaroo rat)
Lineage: Eukaryota; Metazoa; Chordata; Mammalia; Rodentia; Heteromyidae
Rfam family: tRNA
About the family: Transfer RNA (tRNA) molecules are approximately 80 nucleotides in length. Their secondary structure includes four short double-helical elements and three loops (D, anti-codon, and T loops).
Source: Rfam by way of RNAcentral
GGUGGUUCAGUGGUAGAGCUCUUGCCUUGCAUGCAUGAGGCCCUGGGUUCAAUUCCUCAGCACCA